This 760-nucleotide ribosomal RNA is filed under the name uncultured bacterium. RNAcentral describes it as "bacterial SSU rRNA". It matches the Rfam family "Bacterial small subunit ribosomal RNA", at positions 59 to 834 of the family's 1533-position model. The record is from RNAcentral.
CAGUCGAACGAUGAAGCCCUUCGGGGUGGAUUAGUGGCGAACGGGUGACGCCAACACGUGGGCAAUCUGCCCUGCACUCUGGGACAAGCCCUGGAAACGGGGUCUAAUACCGGAUAUCACUUCCACUCGCAUGAGUGGGGGUCGAAAGCUCCGGCGGUGCAGGAUGAGCCCGCGGCCUAUCAGCUUGUUGGUGAGGUAACGGCUCACCAAGGCGACGACGGGUAGCCGGCCUGAGAGGGCGACCGGCCACACUGGGACUGAGACACGGCCCAGACUCCUACGGGAGGCAGCAGUGGGGAAUAUUGCACAAUGGGCGCAAGCCUGAUGCAGCGACGCCGCGUGAGGGAUGACGGCCUUCGGGUUGUAAACCUCUUUCAGCAGGGAAGAAGCGAAAGUGACGGUACCUGCAGAAGAAGCGCCGGCUAACUACGUGCCAGCAGCCGCGGUAAUACGUAGGGCGCAAGCGUUGUCCGGAAUUAUUGGGCGUAAAGAGCUCGUAGGCGGCUUGUCACGUCGGGUGUGAAAGCCCGGGGCUUAACCCCGGGUCUGCAUUCGAUACGGGCUAGCUAGAGUGUGGUAGGGGAGAUCGGAAUUCCUGGUGUAGCGGUGAAAUGCGCAGAUAUCAGGAGGAACACCGGUGGCGAAGGCGGAUCUCUGGGCCAUUACUGACGCUGAGGAGCGAAAGCGUGGGGAGCGAACAGGAUUAGAUACCCUGGUAGUCCACGCCGUACACGGUGGGAACUAGGUGUUGGCGACAUUC